This 102-nucleotide microRNA precursor is filed under the name Marmota monax (woodchuck). The record is from RNAcentral. Lineage: Eukaryota; Metazoa; Chordata; Mammalia; Rodentia; Sciuridae.
ACAUCAAUCACCUAGGGAUCUUGUUAUAAUGCAGAUUUCAAUGUAGCAGGACUGGGGAGAGGCUGAGACUCUGCAUUUCUGACAAACUCCCAAGCUCCCAGG